CAAUAGCGUAUAUUUAAGUUGCUGCAGUUAAAAAGCUCGUAGUUGGAUUUCGGGUGGGAAUGGCCGGUCCGCCGUUUCGGUGUGCACUUGCUACGCCCACCUUGCUGCCGGGGACGUGCUCUUGAGUUCACGCUCGGGACACGGAGUCGGCGAGGUUACUUUGAGUAAAUUAGAGUGUUCAAAGCAGGCCUACGCUCUGAAUACAUUAGCAUGGCAUAACACGAUAGGACUCUGGCCUAUCUUGUUGGUCUGUAGGACCGGAGUAAUGAUUAAGAGGGACAGUCGGGGGCAUUCGUAUUUCAUUGUCAGAGGUGAAAUUCUUGGAUUUAUGAAAGACGAACUACUGCGAAAGCAUUUGCCAAGGAUGUUUUCAUUAA
This 377-nucleotide ribosomal RNA is filed under the name uncultured eukaryote. RNAcentral describes it as "partial 18S ribosomal RNA". It matches the Rfam family "Eukaryotic small subunit ribosomal RNA", at positions 592 to 976 of the family's 1831-position model. The record is from RNAcentral.